AUCUACAGCUAUGCCACCCUGAAUGCACCCUAUCUCAUCUGACCUCAGAGGCUAGAACAGGGUCAGGCCUGGUUAGGACUUCAAAGGGAGAAAGGGAGGAAAGAACACCACAGAGCGGUAUCUU
Cercocebus atys (sooty mangabey) is the source of this 124-nucleotide ribosomal RNA. The record is from Ensembl. NCBI's taxonomy places the organism in Eukaryota, Metazoa, Chordata, Mammalia, Primates, Cercopithecidae.